UUCAGAACAGCUGAAACUCAGAAUAAAAGACAAAAAGUUUCUUCUAAUGCCUAUUUAUGGCACUUAAGACUUGGUCACAUAAAUCUCAAUAGGAUUGGGAGAUUAGUUAAAAGUGGGCUUCUAAGUCCGUUAGAAGAUAACUCUUUACCUCCUUGUGAAUCUUGUCUUGAAGGAAAAAUGACCAAGAGAUCUUUUACUGGAAAAGGUCUAAGAGCCAAAGGACCCUUAGAGCUCGUACAUUCGGACCUUUUGUGGACCAAUGAAUGUCAAAACUCGAGGUGGAUAUGAAUAUUUCAUUAGCUUCAUUGAUGAUUAUUCAAGGUAUGGUCAUAUUUACCUAAUACAUCAUAAGUCUAAUAGUCUUGAAAAGUUCAAAGAAUAUAAGGCUGAAGUAGAAAACGAAUUAGGUAAAACAAUAAAAAUACUUCGAUCAGAUCGAGGUGGAGAGUAUAUGGACUUACGAUUCCGAGACUAUUUAAUAGAAAAUGGAAUCCAGUCACAACUCUCUGCACCUAGUACACCUCAACAGAACGGUGUAUCAGAAAGAAGAAACCGGACCUUGUUAGACAUGGUUCGCUCUAUGAUGAGUUUUUCUCAGAUGUCAGAUUCUUUUUUGGGGAUAUGCUUUAGAAACAGCUGCUUAUAUUUUGAAUAAUGUUCCCUCUAAAAGUGUUUCAGAAACACCUUAUGAGCUAUGGAAAGGGCGUAAAGGCAGUUUACGUCAUUUUAGAAUUUGGGGUUGUCCAGCACACGUGUUGGUACAAAAUCCAAAGAAAUUGGAACAUCGUUCAAAAUUAUGCUUUUUAUAGGUUAUCCAAAAGAAUCAAGAGGUGGUUUGUUUUAUGAUCCUCAAGAAAAUAAAAUAUUUGUGUCAACAAAUGCCACAUUCUUAGAGGAAGACCACAUCAGGGAUCAUCAACCUCGUAGUAAACUAGUAUUAAAAGAAAUUUCCAAAAGUGCUAUAGAUAAACCUAGUUCAUCCACUAAGGUAGUUGAUAAGACUAGGAAAUCUGGUCAAUCACAUCCUUCUCAACAGUUGAGAGAGCCUCGACGUAGUGGGAGGGUUGUUCAUCAGCCUGAUCGCUAUUUGGGUUUAAUUGAAACUCAAGUCGUCAUACCUGACGAUGGCAUAGAGGAUCCAUUAACCUAUAAACAGGCAAUGAAAGAUGUAGAUCGUGAUGAAAAGGAUCAAAGCCAUGGAAGCCAUGGACUCGAAAUGGAGUCUAUGUACUUUAAUUCUGUCUAGACUCUAGUAGAUCAACCAAAUGACGUAAAACCUAUUGGUUGUAAAUGGAUCUACAAGAGAAAACGAGACCAUGCCGGUAAAGUACAGACUUUUAAGGCUCGACUUGUGGCAAAGGGUUAUACCCUAGAGAGAGGGAGUAGACUAUGAGGAAACUUUCUCUCCUGUUGCCAUGUUAAAGUCAAUUAGAAUACUCUUAUCCAUCGCCACUUUUUAUGAUUAUGAAAUUUGGCAGAUGGAUGUCAAGACAGCUUUUUUGAACGGUAAUCUUGAAGAGAGCAUCUAUAUGUCUCAACCAGAGGGGUUUAUAAAACAAGAUCAAGAACAAAAGGUUUGUAAGCUUAAAAAAAUCCAUUUAUGGAUUAAAACAAGCUUCUAGAUCCUGGAAUAUAAGAUUUGAUAUUGCGAUCAAAAUCUUAUGGCUUUGAACAAAAUGUUGACGAGCCUUGUGUUUACAAAAGGUCGUCAAUUCCAUUAUAGCAUUUUUAGUCUUAUAUGUAGAUGAUAUUCUACUUAUUGGAAAUGACGUAGGAUAUCUUACUGAUAUCAAGAAAUGGCUAGCUAUGCAAUUUCAAAUGAAAGAUCUGGGAGAUGCACAAUACGUUCUCGGAAUCCAAAUUGUUCGAAACCGUAAGAACAAAACACUAGCCAUGUCUCAAGCAUCUUACAUAGACAAAAAUGUUGUCUAGAUAUAAAAUGCAGAAUUCCAAAAAGGGUCUGCUGCCGUACAGAUAUGGAAUUCAUUUGUCAAAGGAACAAUGUCCUAAGACACCUCAAGAAGUUGAGGAUAUGAGAAAUAUUCCCUAUGCUUCCGCUGUUGGAAGUUUAAUGUAUGCAAUGUUAUGUACUAGACCUGACAUUUGCUACUCAGUAGGGAUGGUCAGUAGGUAUGGUCAGUAGGUAUCAAUCCAAUCAUGGACGUGAUCACUGGACAGCCGUUAAAAACAUUCUACAUGCUCAUGUAUCGUACAAAGGAUAUGAUCCUUACUGGAUACACUGAUUCGGAUUUCCAAACUAAUAAAGAUGUUAGAAAGUCUACAUCAGAAUCAGUAUUUACUCUAAAUGGAGGAGCAGUAGUUUGGAGAAGCAUAAAGCAAACUUGUAUAGCUGAUUCCACAAUGGAAGCUGAUCAUUUUACAAAAGCCCUCACGGCUAAAGUGUUUGAGGGUCACCUACACAGUUUAGGUGUACGAUGUUUGUAAACUAGGACAAGUGGGAGACUUAUUGGCCAUGUGCCCUAGUUUCAUAUAUAUUCUCUCACACCACAUCUCUCAUACCACUAGGAAUUUUAGUCCAAGUGGGAGUUUGUUGGAAUUUUUUGUCCUAAAACUCGUAGUUUGUAAAUCAUAUUCUAUUCAAUAAAGUUGUUAUUGAGAAAUUAAAUAUUAUAAUCUUAAAUCCAAUAAAUCAAAGUUCCAAGGCUAUUUUUUGAAUAAACUUGAACUUUAUGUGUAAACAUAAACGUGGAUCAAGUUCGAGUAUAUAGCCUAAAUAGUCUAUAGUAUAUGAAAUAAAGGUUGGGCGCCUUAUUUUGAGAGACUAUGGAUGCGGCCCACUUUGUAGUACAAACGAUGUGAUCCUAAUCGUUCAUGUAGAGACAUGAAAGUGGGGGCAUCCUAUGUAAAAUGUUUACAUAAGACUGAACCAUGAAUUAGUCAUUUUUACGUUAUAACACCGUUUACUGUUUAAAACUGACUAUCUCAAUUAUUGAUGACCUAGGUAACUUAGUCUUAAUCCUGAGUUAACUAUGAACUCCUGUUCAUACGAGAUUAUCCUUAGAUCUGCAUAGGUGAGGGCAGCUCAUCAGCGUUGGCCCAAUAAGCCUCCCAUUUCAGGGGUAAGAUCGGGUGGAUAGCUGGGAACAUAGGGUACAAGAUGGAAUUCACUCCUACCCGCUUUAGGGUUAGUAGAUAGGUUGCUCUCUUAAGCACUGAAUCCAAGUCUUGAACAAGGGGCCCCACCCUCUCAUUGGCCCGAGAGGGAUUAAGUUUAUAGGUUGAACCUUAAACCAAUUGUUCAAUAGUGGAUUAGUGGGACUUAAGGAGCAAGAUGUAAUCUUGGGGGUAAAACGGUAUUUUGACCCAGCCAAGGUUACGAGCAACCUGUGAAGGAUUAACUUACUGAUUAUGGUUUUAUCAAAUGGACACAAAUAUAUCUAUAGUGAGGGGAGUGCAACUACGGGACUUUAGUGGAAUGACCCGUUAGUUAACGAAUGUUGAUUAACUCGGUUUAAAAGAGUUUAGCUAGUUAAUCUUGAAUCGUUGGAGCCCAUGAUCUAUAGGUCCAUUAGGUUCCUCUGCUAGCUCAUAUGGAUUAAACUUAGAACAGUGUGAUGAAAUAAGUCGAAUUGUUCGAAUAGGGAGAAGAAAGGAAAACCGACAUAUACAGUGAUAUAAUCGUCGGUCUUCUAAUUAGAAAUAGAGCUUUAUGUUUUACAUACUAUAAGUAUGAAUGCGGAUUCAUACUAAGAAGCUCGGAAUUGGUCAAAAAUAGUAAAAAGUCAAAAUGUUGACUUUUGACUUUGAAAAGUCAAACUUUGACCGGCCUUAUAUUCAAAUGUGAUUUGAAUUUUGGAAAAAUGAAUGCGGAUUCAUGCUCGGGAGGUUGGAAUUAGUCAAGACGGACAAAAUGGUAAAAAGUCAAAAUAUUGACUUUUGACUUAGAAAAGUCAAAGUUUGACUUUUGACUAGAAAAAAUCUAAUGACCAUUUUACCCUUGGACUAAGUUAGUGGGAAAAUCCAACAUUUUGUUGGAUAAUCCCACUAACUCUUAGUGGGAUAUGUGGCUAUAUGAGAUAUAGACACCUAGCCCACUAAGUUCCACUAAUUGUUAGUGGAAUAUUAGGUGUUGAGAUUUGGCAAUUGAAUUGCAUGCAUUUUUGCAUGUAAUUAGGCUAUAAAUAGAGAUGUUUUCAAAUGUUGAAGGACUUUUGCCUCUUUUAUCAUUUUCAUAAUCUCAACAAAAGAAAAAAGAAAGCUUCCAAUCUCAUUUUAUCUCCAUUACUUUCUACACCAAAAUUGGGUCCCACAACCCGGUUCUUUGUCUAGAGGAUAGCAGUUGAGUACUAGUGGUGGUCUCGGGUAGAAUUGGUAAGAAGACAUCAAACCUUUUGUAAGCUUCAAAGGUAAUACUUCUUAAAACCCUAAUUUGAUUAGUUUAUGGUUACAUGUUAAUUGUGGCAAUUAGGGUAGAAAUUCGAUUCUUUUUCCGCUGUGCAUGACUNNNNNNNNNNGUGGAAUAUGAAAAUUGUACCUGGAUACUAGAUUCAGGAGCCACUAACCAUAUUUGCUUCUCAUUUCAGGAAAAUAGUUCUUGAAAAAGCUUUCAGAAGGCGAGAUCACUCUCAAGGUUGGAACAGGAGAGAUGGUCUCAACUUCAGCAGUGGGAGAUUUAAAGUUGUUUUUUAGAGAUAGAUAUGUCAUACUUAAGAAUGUCUUAUAUGUACCUCAAAUGAAAAGAAAUUUAAUAUCUAUCUCUUGUAUUUUGGAACAAAUGUAUAGAAUAUCUUUUGAAAUUAAUGAAGCGUUCGUUUUCUAUAAAGGUAUUCUAGUUUGUUCUGCUAUACUUGAAGACAACUUAUAUAAGUUAAGACCAACCAGAGCAAAUUUUGUCUUAAAUACUGAAAUAUUCAGAACAGCUGAAACUCAGAAUAAAAGACAAAAAGUUUCUUCUAAUGCCUAUUUAUGGCACUUAAGACUUGGUCACAUAAAUCUCAAUAGGAUUGGGAGAUUAGUUAAAAGUGGGCUUCUAAAUCAGUUAGAAAAUAAUACUUUACUCUCUUGUGAAUCUUGUCUUGAAAAAUGACCAAGAGAUCUUUUACUGGAAAAGGUCUAAGAGCCAAAGACCCUUAGAGCUCGUACAUUCGGACCUUUGUGGACCAAUGAAUGUCAAAGCUCGAGGUGGAUAUGAAUAUUUCAUUAGCUUCAUUGAUGAUUAUUCAAGGUAUGGUCAUAUUUACCUAAUACAUCAUAAGUCUAAUAGUCUUGAAAAGUUCAAAGAAUAUAAGGCUGAAGUAGAAAACGAAUUAGGUAAAACAAUAAAAAUACUUCGAUCAGAUCGAGGUGGAGAGUAUAUGGACUUACGAUUCCGAGACUAUUUAAUAGAAAAUGGAAUCCAGUCACAACUCUCUGCACCUAGUACACCUCAACAGAACGGUGUAUCAGAAAGAAGAAAC
This 5417-nucleotide long non-coding RNA is filed under the name Cucumis sativus (cucumber). RNAcentral describes it as "long non-coding RNA (CSAT_LNC001849)". Lineage: Eukaryota; Viridiplantae; Streptophyta; Magnoliopsida; Cucurbitales; Cucurbitaceae. The record is from RNAcentral.